GGAGAGCUUGCCAAUGAAGGAGUUGGUGGUGGUGGUAGGAAGAAUGGAAGUGAGGAUGAAAGUGAGGUAGGAGAGGGUGAGAGAGAGGGUGGUCUGGAGGCAUUGAGGGGGUUAAGGGGGCUGGUGAGGGGUUGGUGACGGAGGAGUAAUGGUGGAGGGGUUGGUGGAGGGAGGAGUAAUGGUGGAAAAGGUGAUGACUGUCAGAGUUAUAAUACGGAAUUUUAACUUCCGUAUUCUAUUUUAUUGAAUACGGAAGUUUAAGUUCCGUAGGGCAUUUAUGGGUUAAAAAAAAAGAGGUGGGGCGCGGAGCCCCAUAGGGGGGCCCCAAACCCAACUCCCG
RNAcentral lists this long non-coding RNA (340 nucleotides) under Lotus japonicus. RNAcentral describes it as "long non-coding RNA (LJAP_LNC001186)". Lineage: Eukaryota; Viridiplantae; Streptophyta; Magnoliopsida; Fabales; Fabaceae. The record is from RNAcentral.